AUUGAACGCUGGCGGAAUGCUUUACACAUGCAAGUCGAACGGCAGCACGGACUUCGGUCUGGUGGCGAGUGGCGAACGGGUGAGUAAUACAUCGGAACGUGCCCAGUCGUGGGGGAUAACGUAGCGAAAGCUACGCUAAUACCGCAUACGAUCUAAGGAUGAAAGCGGGGGACCGUAAGGCCUCGCGCGAUUGGAGCGGCCGAUGGCAGAUUAGGUAGUUGGUGGGGUAAAGGCUCACCAAGCCGACGAUCUGUAGCUGGUCUGAGAGGACGACCAGCCACACUGGGACUGAGACACGGCCCAGACGCCUACGGGAGGCAGCAGUGGGGAAUUUUGGACAAUGGGCGCAAGCCUGAUCCAGCCAUUCCGCGUGCGGGAUGAAGGCCCUCGGGUUGUAAACUGCUUUUGUACGGAACGAAAAGGCUCUGGUUAAUACCUGGGGCUCAUGACGGUACCGUAAGAAUAAGCACCGGCUAACUACGUGCCAGCCGCCGCAGUAA
Molecule: ribosomal RNA, 500 nt
Filed under: uncultured bacterium
Lineage: Bacteria
Description: partial 16S ribosomal RNA
Rfam family: Bacterial small subunit ribosomal RNA
Source: RNAcentral